Molecule: long non-coding RNA, 527 nt
Filed under: Nicotiana benthamiana
Lineage: Eukaryota; Viridiplantae; Streptophyta; Magnoliopsida; Solanales; Solanaceae
Description: long non-coding RNA (NBEN_LNC033239)
Source: RNAcentral
AUUUAUUCAAAUCAGAACUUGAAAGUACCAUGUUAGUGAAUUUGUAUACGAAAUGGCUAUUAUAUUGAGAUAAAAAAUAUGCCAGCCCCCCUUCACAUGAUGUGACUAUGUGUUUAGGCCGUAGGUUUAUACUCUGAAGUGAUUUUGACGUGUAUAGAAAGUUUGGGGUUAGAUAUUCCAAUUUUUUUUAAGAUAGAUGAAAUUUCUCUAAGUGUGAUCCAUGUGCCUAGUUCAAAAAGAAUAAUAGUGUACGGUAAGAGAAUAUGGUCAGAUGAUCAGGAAAGUUGGAUAAACCUUAUGCUUCACUUUAGUUAUUCAAACCAGAGAAAAAAAAAUGAUGCUAAUAGGUAGUUAUUAAAAGAAUAGUAAAUAAGCUUUGAGUAAAUACCGUAAAUUAGCAAUUUCAGCAGAGCUAGUAGAGGUAAGAUUUGAUUUACUUAGCCGAGUUAACUCUAGUGAUUGGAUGAUAGUUUGAAAUAUCGAACAUAUGUUAGAAUCCAAAGAGUUUAAGUUAAACCCGAAGUACA